Ipomoea nil (Japanese morning glory) is the source of this 155-nucleotide long non-coding RNA. RefSeq lists it as uncharacterized. The transcript has 3 exons. The record is from RefSeq and is a predicted model, not a curated record. Lineage: Eukaryota; Viridiplantae; Streptophyta; Magnoliopsida; Solanales; Convolvulaceae.
AAGGAGACGUCCCAACCUUUCUAACCCCAAAGUUCUCUCAUAAUUCAAACAUUCUAAAUCUUACUACUCCAAAGAAAACACAUUGUCCAUAGUCCUGUACAUUCUAACAUCCGGAGAGCAAAGAAUUGGAAAUUCCUUAAUUCCACCCACAUUAA